UACAGAGGUGGCAAGCGUUGUUCGGAAUUACUGGGCGUAAAGGGCGCGUAGGCGGUUCGUUAAGUCCUGUGUGAAAUCCCCCGGCUCAACUGGGGAACUGCACAGGAAACUAGCGGGCUUGAGUUCGGGAGAGGGAAGCGGAAUUCCGGGUGUAGCGGUGAAAUGCGUAGAGAUCCGGAGGAACACCAGUGGCGAAGGCAACACGCUGGGCCGUACCUGACACUGAGACGCGAAAGCGUGGGGAGCAAACAGG
This 253-nucleotide ribosomal RNA is filed under the name uncultured bacterium. Its description in RNAcentral is "partial 16S ribosomal RNA". It matches the Rfam family "Bacterial small subunit ribosomal RNA", at positions 524 to 776 of the family's 1533-position model. The record is from RNAcentral.